This 117-nucleotide ribosomal RNA is filed under the name Lachnospiraceae bacterium. Lineage: Bacteria; Bacillati; Bacillota; Clostridia; Lachnospirales; Lachnospiraceae. The record is from RNAcentral.
GUCAGUGUCUCUAACGCAGAGGGUCCACCCGUUCCCAUUCCGAACACGGAAGUUAAGCUCUGCAGUGCCGAAGAUACUUGUCCGGCGACGGACCGGGAAAACAGGUCGAUGCUGACA